Molecule: long non-coding RNA, 776 nt
Organism: Oncorhynchus keta (chum salmon)
Lineage: Eukaryota; Metazoa; Chordata; Actinopteri; Salmoniformes; Salmonidae
Exons: 2
Source: RefSeq, a predicted model, not a curated record
CAGGUUCUGAAGUACUGCCGUCUCCUCGUGCACAAUCAAGGUUUUUCUGAUUGCAUAUGAUCGCCUCAAGAUUACAGAUGACAGGGUGGAGGAUGUUUCACCAGAUAUGUUUAAGGAACACAAUGGGUUCUAUAAGUCCCUGUUCUCCCUGCAGCAGACCCCUUGUUCCCUACAGCACCUGACUUGCUGGACACUACAGAACUACCUAGAUGGACAUGUGCACAAGAUGGUGCCACACCUAGACCUGCCCACCUUCAUCAAGAACAACCUGCUGCUGUAGUUCAAAUACUAUGUUCACUGAGUCAGAGAUAGAGCCAGGAUGUAUAUAACCCUAAACACUGGAUGUAUGGCAUGCAUGGUAUGAUAUGAUGAGAGCUCCCAGCACUAUAGAGCUCUGUAUGUACUGUAGGCUACAGCACAAACACUAGGAAACACUAGGAAUUCAGUCUGUCUGUGACAAUAUUUGUUUUGCAGAAUGACACAGGAGGGUCAUCGUCACAGACCUACUGAUUGUGGUACUAAGUUGACUACCACUCCUGGGUUCAGAAUCAUUGAAAUUGCAGAGUGUGAGUAAAUGGAUACCAUUAUGUACUGUACAAUAUAUGGCAAAACAAUCUAUGUCAAAAAGUAUGUAUUUACACUUGAUUGUGUUCAUUGUAUUGCUAUUAUAUUAUAAGAAAAAAUGUCAUUUGCUUUACAAGCAGAACCGUGUUUCUCCGCUUCACCACAAGGGGGUGUUGUGGUCUUUAAAUGACAAAUUAAAGAGAUGUACUGUA